This 580-nucleotide ribosomal RNA is filed under the name Papiliotrema laurentii. Its description in RNAcentral is "partial large subunit ribosomal RNA". It matches the Rfam family "Eukaryotic large subunit ribosomal RNA", at positions 88 to 658 of the family's 3401-position model. Lineage: Eukaryota; Fungi; Basidiomycota; Tremellomycetes; Tremellales; Rhynchogastremaceae. The record is from RNAcentral.
GGCGAGUGACCGGGAAGAGCUCAAAUUUGAAAUCUGGCGUCCUCAGGGCGUCCGAGUUGUAAUCUAUAGAGGCGUUUUCCGUGCCGGACCGUGUCCAAGUUCCUUGGAACAGGAUAUCAAAGAGGGUGACAAUCCCGUACUUGACACGACGACCGGUGCUCUGUGAUACGUCUUCUACGAGUCGAGUUGUUUGGGAAUGCAGCUCAAAAUGGGUGGUGAGUUCCAUCUAAAGCUAAAUAUUGGCGAGAGACCGAUAGCGAACAAGUACCGUGAGGGAAAGAUGAAAAGCACUUUGGAAAGAGAGUUAAACAGUACGUGAAAUUGUUGAAAGGGAAACGAUUGAAGUCAGUCGUGACCGAGAGGCUCAGCCGGUUCUGCCGGUGUAUUCCCCUCGGUCGGGUCAACAUCAGUUUUGUCCGGUGGAUAAGGGCGGUAGGAAGGUGGCACCCUCGGGUGUGUUAUAGCCUGCCGUCGCAUACAUCGGGUGAGACUGAGGAACGCAGCUCGCCUUUAUGGCCGGGGUUCGCCCACGUCCGAGCUUAGGAUGUUGACAUAAUGGCUUUAAACGACCCGUCUUGAA